AGGACGAACGCUGGCGGCGUGCCUAACACAUGCAAGUCGAGCGAGGAGAUUCCUCGGGAUGAUCCUAGCGGCGGACGGGUGAGGUAACACGUGGGCAACCUGCCUCAUAGAGAGGAAUAGCCUUCCGAAAGGGAGAUUAAUACCUCAUAACAUUGCAGUUUCGCAUGAAACAGCAAUUAAAGGAGCAAUCCGCUAUGAGAUGGGCCCGCGGCGCAUUAGCUAGUUGGUGAGGUAACGGCUCACCAAGGCGGCGAUGCGUAGCCGACCUGAGAGGGUGAUCGGCCACAUUGGGACUGAGACACGGCCCAGACUCCUACGGGAGGCAGCAGUGGGGAAUAUUGCACAAUGGGGGAAACCCUGAUGCAGCCAACGCCGCGUGAGUGAUGACGGCCUUCGGGUUGUAAAGCUCUGUCUUCAGGGACGAUAAUGACGGUACCUGAGGAGGAAGCCACGGCUAACUACGUGCCAGCAGCAGC
Molecule: ribosomal RNA, 476 nt
Filed under: uncultured bacterium
Lineage: Bacteria
Description: bacterial SSU rRNA
Rfam family: Bacterial small subunit ribosomal RNA
Source: RNAcentral